RNAcentral lists this ribosomal RNA (449 nucleotides) under uncultured bacterium. RNAcentral's name for it is "partial 16S ribosomal RNA". It matches the Rfam family "Bacterial small subunit ribosomal RNA", at positions 28 to 523 of the family's 1533-position model. The record is from RNAcentral.
GAUGAACGCUGGCGGCAGGCUUAACACAUGCAAGUCGAACGCAUCCUUCGGGGUGAGUGGCAGACGGGUGAGUAACGCGUGGGAACGUGCCCUUCAGUUCGGGAUAACCCAGGGAAACUUGGGCUAAUACCGGAUACGUGCGAGAGCAGAAAGAUUUAUCGCUGAAGGAUCGGCCCGCGUCUGAUUAGCUAGUUGGUGGGGUAAUGGCCCACCAAGGCGACGAUCAGUAGCUGGUCUGAGAGGAUGAUCAGCCACAUUGGGACUGAGACACGGCCCAAACUCCUACGGGAGGCAGCAGUGGGGAAUAUUGGACAACGGGCGCAAGCCUGAUCCAGCCAUGCCGCGUGAGUGAUGAAGGCCUUAGGGUUGUAAAGCUCUUUCGUCCGGGACGAUAAUGACGGUACCGGAAGAAGAAGCCCCGGCUAACUUCGUGCCAGCCGCCGCGGUAA